AAGUUUAUACCGACUUGAACAUCGUAUCGUUUGCAGGUAUACAUACUCUCAUCGUCGUUUGUCAGUUACAUCUCUAGUAUGAAAACCUACACUAUGCAGCAUUCCUUCCACCAAUCCACCAUCCAGUAAAAUCUUUCAUCUUCCUAAAUAAAUUUGAGUUCUAUUCAAAAUAAAUGCAUAGUAAACAAGCAAUGUACGAUAAAAAAUAAAAUGAUUAGGUGACAUUUAAUUAUGUGUAUUUGAUAGGUGAACUAUGCUACUUUAACAUCUGAGAAUGCAUGCAUGAGCAAAUAGGCACACAUAAAUAGACAAGAAUGGAAACUGGAGAGGAGAGAAAUGGAAGAGAGUGGCUAAUCAUAAAUUACAGUUUAGAAGUCCUCUGGAUCUCUAAUUAUGGUACUUUCCCUUUGCAUUGCCAUAAAAUUGCAAGUAUUUAUUUUAAGGCGUGAACAAAGAACACCUAAUGCACCUCUACACUAAUCUAAGGUGUACUAUAUAGCAAGUACGUAGAUACUAAAACUAAUAUCUAGGCUGGUAGCUUUCUUUCAAAAAAAAAAAAAUCUAGGCUGGUAGCUUACAAUACAAGUAAAUAUAUAUAUAUGACAUAUCUAGUGAGAAUGGCUUAGUUAUAUGAGAAUGGUGAGAAUACUUCUCAACCCUUGGAUCAAAAAUAAAUGGUUCAGAUUAAAAAGACUCACAUGUGUCUCUCUCUAGUCUAUCAUUUUUUAUAAACCUGUUUCACCUUUUCAUCUUCUUGGAUCGACCAUCAUCUGCAACAGAUUUUCACACUAUUCCUAAUUUUCCAGCACAAGAUUAAAAUCAUUGGAGAUAUUACCUUUCAAAUAGACUUUAUUUUGAACAACACCAACUUAUCCAAAUAGAUUAAAAUCAUUGCAUAUCAUUCUGGUUCUAUUUUUCAGUCCAUCAAAAGAAUUCAAUUUUAAAUUAAUGAUCCACUCUAUCAAAAUAAUCCCUUUUCUUUCUGAAUUUUUUUUUAAAUAAUAUUAUUGCCCCUUCUUGUCUUCUCUCAACGAUGCAGGUAUGAAUUGAGACAAAAAAGAACUUCAAUUAAAUGAGAUUGGAUUUAAUCCAAUGAAUUGAGACAAUAGUGCUCAACAAAAUCAAUUCAAUUCAACACAUAAACAGAAAGAACAGAGAAUAUGGGUGUCACUGUGGCUGGUGAGAUAAUGAACAGAGAAGUGUUUGAAGGGAGGCGAAGGUGGGUGUUGAAGACGAGGUGAGAAAGAAAACUCGAUUGUUUACUUGAAGAACACCUUAUUAAAGUAAUUCUUUAAAAUACAGAUCUGGGAAGAGUGAUCUCAACACAAAUGGUGGUGGAGUCAUGGACUCAUGAUAAAACAUUUUUUUUAAGGAUCAGAAAGCGUUGUUGUUUGGGGAAGAUGAACAAAUGAAUAUGUUGAUGAGAACCAUUUAUUUUUGAUCCAAGGGUUGAGAAGUAUUCUAACCAUUGUCAUGUAACUAAGCCAUUCUCACUAGAUAUGUCCUCACACACACAUAUAUAUAUAUAUAUAUAUAUAUAUACUAAUAAUGUGUAAUCUGCUCGUGGUGUAAUACUGGCCUUGGAAGAAAGAGUAAAUAGAUUCCCA
Molecule: long non-coding RNA, 1607 nt
Filed under: Medicago truncatula (barrel medic)
Lineage: Eukaryota; Viridiplantae; Streptophyta; Magnoliopsida; Fabales; Fabaceae
Description: long non-coding RNA (MTRU_LNC002575)
Source: RNAcentral